Long non-coding RNA from Mytilus californianus (California mussel), 287 nucleotides. RefSeq lists it as uncharacterized. The record is from RefSeq and is a predicted model, not a curated record. The transcript is spliced from 3 exons. Lineage: Eukaryota; Metazoa; Mollusca; Bivalvia; Mytilida; Mytilidae.
AACGGUGCAAGUCAUCGAGGUAGUUAAGUGUACAUAGCCAGACAUCGAUAUAAAAUGCUCUCAAUCGAAGUCUGAGUCUGCAACUUGAUGACUUGCAUGGGAUAUGUUACUAGCAUUUUUCAUUGUCUAAAUAUUUAAACAUAUCAGACAUGGGAAGACUAGGACCAUCGCAAUAUAAUUACUAAUUAAGUGAAGAAGUGUGAACCAUUAUAUUCAAUUUGUCUUAGUUUCAAGAGACGUCGAACAAUCUUAGCAUACAAGUUAAGUAUUAUUUUUACAAUGGCGGC